Molecule: ribosomal RNA, 503 nt
Filed under: uncultured bacterium
Lineage: Bacteria
Description: partial 16S ribosomal RNA
Rfam family: Bacterial small subunit ribosomal RNA
Source: RNAcentral
AUUGAACGCUGGCGGCAGGCUUAACACAUGCAAGUCGAGCGGGGUGAUGGUGCUUGCACUAUCACUUAGCGGCGGACGGGUGAGUAAUGCUUAGGAAUCUGCCUAUUAGUGGGGGACAACAUCUCGAAGGGGAUGCUAAUACCGCAUACGUCCUACGGGAGAAAGCAGGGGAUCACUUGUGACCUUGCGCUAAUAGAUGAGCCUAAGUCGGAUUAGCUAGUUGGUGGGGUAAAGGCCUACCAAGGCGACGAUCUGUAGCGGGUCUGAGAGGAUGAUCCGCCACACUGGGACUGGGACACGGCCCAGACUCCUACGGGAGGCAGCAGUGGGGAAUAUUGGACAAUGGGGGGAACCCUGAUCCAGCCAUGCCGCGUGUGUGAAGAAGGCCUUAUGGUUGUAAAGCACUUUAAGCGAGGAGGAGGCUCUUUUGGUUAAUACCCAAGAUGAGUGGACGUUGCUCGCAGAAUAAGCACCGGCUAACUCUGUGCCAGCCGCCGCCGUAA